Molecule: long non-coding RNA, 1324 nt
Organism: Oncorhynchus tshawytscha (Chinook salmon)
Lineage: Eukaryota; Metazoa; Chordata; Actinopteri; Salmoniformes; Salmonidae
Source: Ensembl
GGUUACCACUGGAGGGCACCCUUACCUUGUUUCUAGUGUCCAGGUUUCCCUGAUUGUUAUCAUUGGUUUCACCUGUGUGUUGAUUGCCCUCUCGGUUCACCUGUUGACUGGCUAUUUAGGUUCCUCUGUGGGCAGAUCUCUUUGCUUAGGUCUCAUGUUUUGAUUACUGUGCAGGUGUCCUUUCCUUUGUUCUGUGAAGACCUCAGUAAAUGUUCUGGAUUUACCCCUGCCUGCUGUGUUUCGCUGCGCCUGGGUUUGUACUAGCAUUAUUGUCACACAGUGGCCACGUGCUCCAGGCUGCAGUAGACUACCUAUUUAACUUUCAUCUCCAACUUUCAUCACUGCAAGUUAAAAGGCCAUACAGUUAAAAUGAUGCAUAAGGUCACAGCAUUCCGUAAGGUCACAGCAUUCCGUAAGGUCACAGCAUUCCGUAAGGUCACAGCAUUCCGUAAGGUCACAGCAUUCCAUAUGGUCACAGCAUUCCAUACUUGUGAAAGGGGCACUUGUUGGUAGCCUUGAGUUUUCAGUUUGCUUCCAUGGCUGGUUUCACAUUUGUCUCCAGCAUGCAAAAGUAAAAAUCAUCUAAAACAAUCUGUAUUUACAAUCCCCUUCUCCAAACAGAUUAGAACCUACUACUUUAUCUAGUUUGAAUUUUACAACUUAAAAAACAACAAUUAAACUUUAGCCCCACCCAUCUCUUUAAGGAUUCACAUGUGAGGCCAUGUACUAAACAACCAAAGAUUUCAAGACUAAAGACUGGUUUAUACAACGGGUGUGUUCAUAAAUUUUAUCUGGAGUGCCAGAGUGUUUUCUGGGCAUUCAUAAACUCAGAGCGUUGUCAGAUUGUCCCUUCAUAAAUUCAGAGUGUUACGCCCUCGGAGCGUUCAGCGCGCCACACUGGUCGAGGAGAAGUGAUGAUUUGAGCAUUCUGCCCUUACAACAGCAGUCAAGCACCCAAGCUAACUGGCUAACGUUGGCUAGCUUGCGAGUUACUUCCAGACACACAAUGAGAGAACACCUCACUCUGACCAGUUUACUCAGUCUAGCAGAGCUGGUUAGGCUGUUUUCAUGCAACUGUGCUGCUGGCAACAAUUUAAUUACGCUUUUUUUGCCAACGUUUACCGACACCGGCCAUAUUCAGUGGGUGUUGAGCGUUCGUAAAUUCGGCAGUUAUUCUGUAAGAACAGCAAAAGACCAAUCAUGAAUUAAAUGACCAAAUCUAGGCAACAUAUUUUUUGUUAAUUUUAAGCAGGGUUUACUGAUUCCAUGACAGAUUGAGAGCAGGGUUUACUGAUUCCCAUGACAGAUUGAGAGCAGGGUUUAC